This 439-nucleotide ribosomal RNA is filed under the name uncultured bacterium. RNAcentral describes it as "bacterial SSU rRNA". It matches the Rfam family "Bacterial small subunit ribosomal RNA", at positions 959 to 1397 of the family's 1533-position model. The record is from RNAcentral.
ACGCGUGGAACCUUACCAGGUCUUGACAUCCUCUGACACUCCUAGAGAUAGGACGUUCCCCUUCGGGGGACAGAGUGACAGGUGGUGCAUGGUUGUCGUCAGCUCGUGUCGUGAGAUGUUGGGUUAAGUCCCGCAACGAGCGCAACCCUUGAUCUUAGUUGCCAGCAUUAAGUUGGGCACUCUAAGGUGACUGCCGGUGACAAACCGGAGGAAGGUGGGGAUGACGUCAAAUCAUCAUGCCCCUUAUGACCUGGGCUACACACGUGCUACAAUGGAUGGUACAAAGGGCAGCAAAACCGCGAGGUCGAGCAAAUCCCAUAAAACCAUUCUCAGUUCGGAUUGUAGGCUGCAACUCGCCUGCAUGAAGCUGGAAUCGCUAGUAAUCGCGGAUCAGCAUGCCGCGGUGAAUACGUUCCCGGGCCUUGCACUCACCGCCCGU